RNAcentral lists this ribosomal RNA (465 nucleotides) under Vreelandella stevensii. RNAcentral describes it as "partial 16S ribosomal RNA". It matches the Rfam family "Bacterial small subunit ribosomal RNA", at positions 338 to 795 of the family's 1533-position model. Lineage: Bacteria; Pseudomonadati; Pseudomonadota; Gammaproteobacteria; Oceanospirillales; Halomonadaceae. The record is from RNAcentral.
CCUACGGGGGGCUGCAGUGGGGAAUAUUGGACAAUGGGGGGAACCCUGAUCCAGCCAUGCCGCGUGUGUGAAGAAGGCCCUCGGGUUGUAAAGCACUUUCCGUGAGGAAGAACGCCUGGUGGUUAAUACCCAUCAGGAAAGACAUCACUCACAGAAGAAGCACCGGCUAACUCCGUGCCAGCAGCCGCGGUAAUACGGAGGGUGCGAGCGUUAAUCGGAAUUACUGGGCGUAAAGCGCGCGUAGGUGGCUUGAUAAGCCGGUUGUGAAAGCCCCGGGCUCAACCUGGGAACGGCAUCCGGAACUGUCAAGCUAGAGUGCAGGAGAGGAAGGUAGAAUUCCCGGUGUAGCGGUGAAAUGCGUAGAGAUCGGGAGGAAUACCAGUGGCGAAGGCGGCCUUCUGGACUGACACUGACACUGAGGUGCGAAAGCGUGGGUAGCAAACAGGAUUAGAUACCCUAGUAGUC